CCCCCAAAAAUAUAAAAAUAAAACAAAAACAUUUGUAUAAAAAAUGGGAAAAUAAAAAAUGUAAAUAACGUUGUUUGUCUGUGAGUCGUCCCAAAGAAAUAGUGAAAAUACUCUCCAUUCACCAAUGCAAAAAAAAAAAAAAAAAAUCCCAAAAAUUCCCGUUUUGUCCCUUCCCCAUACUUGCCCAAAGCCCCAACCAGACCCAAAGCCCAAACCUUUCUUCCUUCCUUUCUCUCUCACAAAAUCUACUCUCUCUCUUCGACCGCCUCUCUUUUUCUCUCUAUCGUUCACAUACGCACGCACUGUUUCUCUUCCACAAUUGUCGAAUGCUGAAGCUUUCGCCUUCUCUCUCUCGUGCUCCGAUGACCUAGCAUCCGCGGCGCCGGGAGGUCCGCCGGCCGUCCACCGCCGGUCGAAGAUUCCUGACCGAGUUCCGGUGAUUUGGGGAUAUAUCUAGGGUUUGGUUUUUGGCGUUUCUUCGAUUCGAUUGGGAGCGAGAGAUACGAAGUUCGAUAAAUUUUUAGGUAUUGUUUUCUUCUUCGCGGGUUGUGGUGGUAGUGGCGGCGUCGACGCCAUGGCCGGGGGGCGUAGACGCGGAGCGAACAAGGCCAAGGCUAAGGGCCAGUUGAGCCUUGGUGAUCUUGUCCUCGCCAAGGUCAAGGGAUUCCCUUUCUGGCCUGCCAAGAUUAGCAGGCCUGAGGACUGGAAGAAACCUCAUGAUCCCAAGAAAUAUUUUGUUCAAUUUUUUGGUACUGAGGAAAUCGCAUUUGUUGCCCCUGCGGAUAUUCAGGCAUUUACUAGUGAGGCAAAGGCUAAAUUAUCAGCUCGGUGCCAAGGUAAAGCAAAGCCCUUUACCCAAGCUGUGAAGCAAAUCUGCGAGGCAUUUGAUGAGUUGCAGAAAAAUAAAUCAAGUGAUUUGAGGGAUGACACUGAUAGAUCGGAACUUGGAUGUGAGGUUCGAUCUAUUGAUGGGGUUGAGAAUAAUGAGGCCGACGCUGACACAAAGGAUGGGUCGGGUAUGAUUGGCUCUGAUGAGGAAACGAUGAAUGAGGAAAUAGGUGAUUCUAGCUCUAAGUUGGAGCGGUGUUCACAGAGACGAGGUGAAAGUGAUAAUCAGGAUCUAAAGCCUUUUGUUGAUGCUUGUUCAAGUGGCGGUGUGUCUUCUGCCUUGUCUAGUGAGAAAAAAGGUGAAAUUCUUGAAGUUGCUAAAUCAAAGGAGGUAAUUGUGAAAUCGGAACCAGAUUCUUCCAAUCCAGAGGAAGUCCUUUCUGAUGAUGGACAGAGGGCCGUGUCAAAUGGUCACAAGUUGAAGAAAAUGGGAUCUGAAUCAAAGAGAAAGAGUGAAGGUGGUCUUGAAGUACAUAAAGAUCCCAAAUCUUGUGAGCAACUGAAAGAUGGAAUGAAAAAAAAAAAUGCUACUGGUGGGAGCAGAAAGGAAUAUUUUUUGGAAAAUAAAAGGGGUUCUGAAACUUGUGGUGGAAAAAAGGCUAAAGGCGAGGCUAAGACAAAAAAUCAUUUGAAGGUUCCAAAUGAUACACAUCGUUCUUCUGUUGAUCCUGAGGAACAGUCCGAGGAAAAACUUCCUGGAAGGACAAAAAGGCCCCAGCUUGGAAUUGGCAAAUCUAAUUUGGAAGCAAAUGACAUUUUACGCUCUGCAAAAAAGUCAAAGUAUAUAGACGCAGGGGACAAUUCCCCUGUGGAAUCACUCUCCAAAAACAAAAAUAAGGCAGCUCCAAAAUCAGAUUUAAAAAGAUCAACAUCACGAGGAAAGGCAGAAAAUCACCUCACAUCAAGAGCCCACAAUGUUGUUGCACCCAAUGUUCAAGGCAAUGAAGCUGUCCUACCUCUGUCAAAACGUCGUCGGCAAGCACUAGAGGCUAUGUCUGAUUCACCUAAUGUAGUCUCUGAUAUUAAGAUGGAAAAGGAUUCUGCAGUAAAGAAUGGCGUUGCAUGCUCCAGCAGUGUAAAAGUUGUGGCAACUCAGUUACAGAGAAAAAGGAGGGCUGUUUGCCUUUAUGAUGAUGAUGACGAGGAUCCCAAAACCCCUGUUCAUGGAGGAUCUGCCACAUUUGUUAAAACACCUUUACAUGUUUCAGAUGGUAUCAAAAGUUCCAAUGCAGGUAGUAAGAGAUGUGAAAAUGCUCUAGAUAAUGGUAGAGAUUCUACUGAACCGUUGGUUAGUCACAUCAAGGAAUCCUCUAUGCCAAAUGGGUCUCUGUCACCCAAAAAACCUCAAGCCAACGAGGAGCAGCGUCCUAGCCAAUCUCAAGGUGAUGAAAAGGGGUCUGAGAGCCAACAUGAAAGUGAUGAAAAAAGGCUUGACAAGGCAGAGAAAUCAGAAUCUGAGUCGUUGUCAACCAAGGAGGCAAAACCAGUCUUGAUAUCUCCUAUAAAGUCUCCACACGUGCUUUCUGCUGUCAAACCAGCAGUUGAACAACUUAAAGCUACAAAACCGUUGGCUAAAGUCACCAGUGCAGGCAGUCAAAAGAAAGCUCAGGCAGGGCUUAGCAAGGGCUUAGUUUCAGUUUCUAACGGUUCUCAAAAUCAAGCAACAGCUCAGAGAAACAAGCCUGCUUCUUCUACAGAAAGAUCUAAACCUACUACAAAAUCUCUCUCUCGAACAAAUGACACCACUGUUCUGAGAGAAAAAUCUACAGAGCUUGGUGAAAGCAGUUUGGAAGCCAGUAGAGAGGAGCGUGGCAGUUUAUUCCUUGAUUCUAGGACACCCGACUCUGCCAUGUCUAUGAAGCUUCUUAUUGCAGCUGCACAAGCAAAGAGGAGGCAAGCUCAAUCGCAAAACUUUACAUUUGACAUUCCAGGUUCUGCCUUUGUGUCCAACAAUGAUUUCCAAGGGAGGAGCCCCAGCCCUUCUGCAGUUCGACGUUUUUUAUCUGGAUCCAGUGAUGCUAUGCUGGCAGAUAUCCAGGGUUCUUAUACUACUGCAACGUUAGGUUCUCCAUCCACUCACGCUCGCGAGUCUGCAUCACAAAGUCAGCUUGAAAUUGAAGAACUUGAGGAGAGAAGAGUUAGUUCUGGAAAUAGGGUUGCUGGAGGCUCACUUAGUGGGGGCACCGAGGCGGCUGUUGCUCGUGAUGCUUUUGAAGGAAUGAUUGAGACUUUGUCUAGGACUAAAGAAAGUAUUGGACGUGCAACUCGUCUUGCCAUUGAUUGUGCAAAGUAUGGUAUUGCAAAUGAGGUUGUGGAGCUAUUAAUCCGGAAAUUGGAAACGGAGCCUAGUUUUCACCGAAAAGUAGACCUGUUUUUCCUUGUGGAUUCCAUCACCCAAUGCUCUCAUAAUCAAAAAGGCAUUGCGGGAGCCUCCUAUGUUCCAACUGUUCAAGCAGCAUUGCCUCGUCUACUUGGUGCUGCUGCUCCAGCUGGCUCGGGUGCUCGUGAAAAUCGCCGACAGUGUCUCAAGGUUUUACGGUUGUGGCUUGAGAGGAAAAUUUUUCCUGAGUCACUUCUUCGUCGUUACAUGGAUGAUAUUGGAGUUUCGAAUGAUGAUACGACUGCUGGAUUUUCCCUUAGACGUCCAUCUCGAGCUGAGCGUGCUGUUGAUGAUCCAAUCAGAGAAAUGGAAGGCAUGCUUGUUGAUGAGUACGGCAGCAAUGCUACAUUUCAGAUGUCUGGAUUUUUAUCUUCUCACGUGUUUGAUGAUGAAGAAGAAGAAGAAGAUGAUGAUGAUCUUCCAAGUACUUCUAGGGAAAAUGGCCAUCCAUCACACGUGGAACCUACUCAUGCUUCUGGAGAGGCAGAAACAUCCAUAGUUACUCCAAGUGACAGGCGUCAUUGCAUCUUGGAGGAUGUUGAUGGUGAACUUGAAAUGGAAGAUGUUUCUGGACACCUGAGGGAUGAAAAGACGGUGCCAAGUGGCUCUUUUGAAGCAGACACACAACAAGAUGUAUCAGACAGGAUUUCAGAACCAGCUUCAACCAUUUCCACCGAGUUGCCUCCUCUACUGGAGGGUUCUCCACCAUUACCUCUUGAUUCUCCUCCUCCACCCCCACCUUUGCCUCCUUCACCACCACCACCACCACCACCACCACCCCCAUCAUCUCCAUCUCCGCCGCCGCCGCCACCACCACCGCCUCCUCUACCUUUAGAGUCACCUCCUCCUCCUUUGCCACCUUCUUGCCCCCCACCAAUGUUGGUUUCUCAACCAUCUAUAGCGACUCAGCCUUCAUUAUUAUUGCCUCAACAGAUGAUGCCAUCGCAAACGUCAGCACAGACACAUUGCUAUGCUCCUACUGGAGUCUCUGGUCCUCGGGAAUCCUCUGGGUUUAAUUCUUCAAGGCAAUUGGAACAUGGACAUAAUGAUAUGUAUGUGAACCCACAAGUUUCUCAACCGAACCAACAAUUUCCACAAGGUAGUACUCCUUAUGUACAAAGACCUUUACAUCCUGUACCACCUCAAAACCCUUCCGGCCAUUUCUCUUAUACGAAGCCCACAAUUCAGCAACAUCCUCAGCAUCCGUACCACCACCUAUACCCUUUGCCGUCCCAUCCUGAUGGUCGGAGGCCGCCAUUGGUUGGUGAUGAACAGUGGAGGAUGCCCACUAGCGAGUUCAAAUCAGAGAAUCAGCGUGGUGUAUGGAUGAAUGGGGGGAUGACAAAUUCAGGCCCACCAUUUGGCCAAGAAGGUUAUUUCCGGCCACCCUUUGAAAGGCCACCAACAAAUAACGUGGGUUUUCAGCACUCUGCACCCAAUCCUGUACCAACUGGUGCUCCAAUAUCAGGUCAUGGAGUUCCUCAGAUGUUACCGAGUAGACCAGAUAUGUCCGCUCUUAAUUGUUGGAGGCCAACUUAAGUUGUUUCAGAUCUGUGGAUGGAAGAACAAAUAUUGAAGCCCCGUUAUGCUGGGGGUCAAAGUAAAUUGUGUACAAAAUCCAACCACAACUUGAAGGCAGUGUUGAGAAGUGGAGGCCCUUGGCAGGAUUGUGUAUAUUGUAAUUUUUCCUGACAAAUGUAUCCCGAGAACAUUUGCUUCCAAGUGUAGGCUCAUGUUUCUGAGUUGUUAAUGGAGGUUUUGUAUGGUGACUGACUGAAGAAAAAUAAUAAGAGAGAUGGCUCACGAUACUAAACAGCUGAUGGAGGUUUUAUGCUGUAUAGAAUAUGAUUAACUGGAGAAAAGUUUUAAGAGAAAGGGCACACUUCAAGUCCAUUCUUUAAGUUGGUGCUACUGUCUCACACGGUAAUGCAGAGAUAAAGAAGAACUCUUGUAGACUAUAUGCGUGUUUACAGAGAAAAUGGGAGAGAGCUUCCAAGAGAAGCACUUGACUUGGUGGAUGGAGUGGGAUGGAGCGGGGUUUCAGAAUUCAAGAAAGGCUUUUCAUGAAUUGUGCUCUAUUAACUUCGGUAUAGCAUUGUGGACACAGUAUUUUUCAGAAUUCAAGAAAGGGUUUCGAAGUUUCCUUAAUUCUUAUAAUCCAUAGGCUGGAAGAGUAACUUUAACUUUCUGUUUUUGCAAAAGGAUUAAUCCAAUUUUGAAGUCAUAAUGUGGUCACUUACAAAGGCAUAGUGUUCUACUUCUUAGCAGAUAAGACUGCUUCAAAAUGUUGAGCUUUGUUAGGAUUAUUUGAAGUUGACUCCAGGUGAAGAUUUACAUUGAAAAAAGGAUAACCAUGAAGUCCGGAUAGAUUGGUUUCUACUGGUCUCAUUAAUUAAUUAAUCAGAGUACAUCCAAAUAAAGCGGAUAGAUUGGUUUUUCCACUCGGCUUAUUCAUUCCAAUAUAUUCAGAUUUGACUUCCAAGUAGGAGACCAUGCUAGCUUUUAGAAAUAGGUAAUUUCUCUCUUCUGAGAGGCUGUUUUGUUUAGACUUUAGACAUGCAAGUUUUAUAUUUUUGGCGCUUCAGUAUUUUACUCGAAGGCAUGACUAAUUUUUUUGCUUCACCUUGCUGCAUGCUAAAAAGCACAAAGCUUCUUUUAUCUUUUUACCUGUCUACCAGACAUUGAAAUGCGCACUAUUGCUUCCCUGGUUAAUAUUCCCGUUGACCUUUAACAAGUCGACUGGGUGAUUAUUCGAAUCGGAUGGGAGGUUCUGGUUCUUGGUGUGAACAUUUUAAAACAUGAUGUAUAUACAUAAUUCGGCAAAAAAAGGAAAAAAAAAAAAAAGCGUCAUUUAAACUAGGGAAUAAAUUAUAAUAAUUAAAAAAGGGCAAAACAAAAAAGAAAAAAUGAAAUCAACUAGUGAACAGCCAAGUUGCUCGAGUUGGCAGUAAAUUGCCCCAAAUUGUUGACUCACAGGACUCCAGAACUGACCGCCAAAAUUCUCCAUACUCAGGAAGAGCAUUUUCGUGCAUAACGCGACAAUUUAAUCUCUUGCAUUUUUUGCUUAUUGCAACAUUUAAUUGAAAAUAAAAGGAAAUAAAUAAAUGAGAAAAAAAAGAUAAAAAAGA
RNA transcript from Morus notabilis, 6396 nucleotides. It is a transcript of the gene named ENHANCER OF AG-4 protein 2, with no coding region annotated. The record is from RefSeq and is a predicted model, not a curated record. The transcript is spliced from 15 exons. Lineage: Eukaryota; Viridiplantae; Streptophyta; Magnoliopsida; Rosales; Moraceae.